AAUAAAUAAACACUCAUAUCAUUGAAAUCUCAAAGCUAUGAGAUAAUGCAUGACUAAUUUUUAAAAAUGUUAAUAAAUAUUACAUUUGAUGGAAUAAUCUGAAUGUUAAAGGGUUAAUGUAGGCAUGCUGUAUGAUGGUUUAGACUUUUACACAUGUGACCUGACCCUAUUUUAUAAGUAGGUAGAAGAUUUUUUUAAGGGAAAUUUAGCCUCUACAUUGAUCAGGUUAAUAAAAUAAAUGCUCUAAUAGAUGCUUAGGUACUCAUCAUAAUGGUAUAGUAGUUAUUCUAGAAGUAAUAUAGUAACUAAAAUGUUAUGAUUAAUUGAACCUACUAUCAAGAAAAUAAAUCUAAUUUCAAAUGAAAAGUUAAUUACAUCCAAUAUCUAUUUUUGUUGUAGCCAAGGCAGUAAGCUGGGAGAACUGUUAGCACACUAGGCGAAAUGCUUAGUAGCAUUUCAUCUAUCUUCAUGCUCUGAGUUCAAAUUCCACCAAGGUUGUCUUUGCCUUUCAUCCUUACAGGGUCAGUAAAAUAAGUACCCCCUCCCCAAAAAUUGCUGGCCUUGUACCAAAAUUUGAAAUCUAUAUCCAUUUUUGGCUGUAGCCAUGAAAUACAUGCACAAAUUUACAAAAGGAUCAAAUCUGUUGAAAGCAAAAGAUGAAAGUCAAGUCUUUUUUUAAAAGAACAAUGCUUUUGAGUGGAUUUCAGGUUAAAUCCCAAGUAAUAGAAUUGGAGAAGCUAACGCUAAAACUUGAAAAUCUUUUCAAAUCAACAGAUUCAGAUUCUUUGGUAAUUAAACUGUAAAUAAUCUGUAUCUUAAAGAAUCAACCUCUUACAAAAAUGUACAUAAUGAAGUUAUAAAUAAUAAGAACUUAGAUGUCUAAAAACAACAAAAAACAAAAUGAACUUUGCCAGAUGAAAAACAAAUUAAACAUGAGUCUGCAUGUAUUACAGUUGUCUGUACUCGACAAAAUGCCCCAGCAUGGUCACAACCAAUGACUGAAACCAGUAAGCAAAAAGAAAACAGUAUACACUUCAUGUUUCAAUUGUAUAAAUCU
Octopus sinensis (East Asian common octopus) is the source of this 1057-nucleotide long non-coding RNA. RefSeq lists it as uncharacterized. The record is from RefSeq and is a predicted model, not a curated record. The transcript is spliced from 2 exons. Lineage: Eukaryota; Metazoa; Mollusca; Cephalopoda; Octopoda; Octopodidae.